RNAcentral lists this ribosomal RNA (449 nucleotides) under uncultured bacterium. RNAcentral describes it as "partial 16S ribosomal RNA". It matches the Rfam family "Bacterial small subunit ribosomal RNA", at positions 29 to 523 of the family's 1533-position model. The record is from RNAcentral.
AAUGAACGCUGGCGGCAUGCCUAACACAUGCAAGUCGAACGAAGGCUUCGGCCUUAGUGGCGCACGGGUGUGUAACGCGUGGGAAUCUGCCCUCAGGUUCGGAAUAACAGCGAGAAAUUGCUGCUAAUACCGGAUGAUAUCGCGAGAUCAAAGAUUUAUCGCCUGAGGAUGAGCCCGCGUAGGAUUAGCUAGUUGGUGUGGUAAAGGCGCACCAAGGCGACGAUCCUUAGCUGGUCUGAGAGGAUGAUCAGCCACACUGGGACUGAGACACGGCCCAGACUCCUACGGGAGGCAGCAGUGGGGAAUAUUGGACAAUGGGCGAAAGCCUGAUCCAACAAUGCCGCGUGAGUGAUGAAGGCCUUAGGGUUGUAAAGCACUUUUACCCGGGAUGAUAAUGACAGUACCGGGAGAAUAAGCUCCGGCUAACUCCGUGCCAGCCGCCGCCGUAA